ACGCUGGCGGCAGGCCUAACACAUGCAAGUCGAGCGGUAGAGAGAAGCUUGCUUCUCUUGAGAGCGGCGGACGGGUGAGUAAUGCCUAGGAAUCUGCCUGGUAGUGGGGGAUAACGUCCGGAAACGGACGCUAAUACCGCAUACGUCCUACGGGAGAAAGCAGGGGACCUUCGGGCCUUGCGCUAUCAGAUGAGCCUAGGUCGGAUUAGCUAGUUGGUGGGGUAAUGGCUCACCAAGGCGACGAUCCGUAACUGGUCUGAGAGGAUGAUCAGUCACACUGGAACUGAGACACGGUCCAGACUCCUACGGGAGGCAGCAGUGGGGAAUAUUGGACAAUGGGCGAAAGCCUGAUCCAGCCAUGCCGCGUGUGUGAAGAAGGUCUUCGGAUUGUAAAGCACUUUAAGUUGGGAGGAAGGGCAGUAAAUUAAUACUUUGCUGUUUUGACGUUACCGACAGAAUAAGCACCGGCUAACUCUGUGCCAGCAGCCGCGGUAAUACAGAGGGUGCAAGCGUUAAUCGGAAUUACUGGGCGUAAAGCGCGCGUAGGUGGUUCGUUAAGUUGGAUGUGAAAUCCCCGGGCUCAACCUGGGAACUGCAUUCAAAACUGACGAGCUAGAGUAUGGUAGAGGGUGGUGGAAUUUCCUGUGUAGCGGUGAAAUGCGUA
RNAcentral lists this ribosomal RNA (664 nucleotides) under uncultured bacterium. RNAcentral describes it as "bacterial SSU rRNA". It matches the Rfam family "Bacterial small subunit ribosomal RNA", at positions 33 to 692 of the family's 1533-position model. The record is from RNAcentral.